RNAcentral lists this transfer RNA (70 nucleotides) under Nemachilichthys ruppelli. Its description in RNAcentral is "tRNA-Gly". It matches the Rfam family "tRNA". From Rfam's summary of the family: Transfer RNA (tRNA) molecules are approximately 80 nucleotides in length. Lineage: Eukaryota; Metazoa; Chordata; Actinopteri; Cypriniformes; Nemacheilidae. The record is from RNAcentral.
AUCUUUCUAGUAUCAACUAGUACAAGUGACUUCCAAUCACUUAGUCUUGGUUAAACCCCAAGGAAAGAUA